Molecule: unclassified non-coding RNA, 1066 nt
Filed under: leaf metagenome
Description: partial contains internal transcribed spacer 1, 5.8S ribosomal RNA, internal transcribed spacer 2, and large subunit ribosomal RNA
Rfam family: Eukaryotic large subunit ribosomal RNA (bases 483-1066)
Source: RNAcentral
GGAUCAUUAAAGAAGUUCAAUACUCCUUUCACCAUCGCGAAUCAUACCUUUGAGUAAACGAAGUUGCUUCGGCGGGCGGCCCCGGGGAGGGGCCGCGGCGGAAACGCGCCCGCCGGACGACGACAAACCUCUGAAUUUUAGGUCUCUCUGAGAACCAAACAAAUGAAUCAAAACUUUCAACAACGGAUCUCUUGGUUCGGGCAUCGAUGAAGAACGCAGCGAAAUGCGAUAAGUAAUGUGAAUUGCAGAACUCAGCGAAUCAUCGAAUCUUUGAACGCACAUUGCGCCCGGGAGUAUUCUCCCGGGCAUGCCUGUUCGAGCGUCAUUUCAACCCUCGCGCCCCGCGCGGUGUUGGGGCCCCGCGGCUGCCGCGGGCCCUGAAAUCCAGUGGCGGGCUCGCCAGGACCCCCAGCGCAGUAGCUUAAACCACGCUGGCGGCGUCCCGGUGCGUCCCUGCCGUGAAACCCCAUCUUUUACAAGGUUGACCUCGAAUCAGGUAGGAAUACCCGCUGAACUUAAGCAUAUCAAUAAGCGGAGGAAAAGAAACCAACAGGGAUUGCCCUAGUAACGGCGAGUGAAGCGGCAACAGCUCAAAUUUGAAAUCUGGCCUCGGCCCGAGUUGUAAUUUGCAGAGGAAGAUUCUGGCGCGGUGCCUUCUGAGUCCACUGGAACGUGGCGCCACAGAGGGUGAGAGCCCCGUAUAGUUGGACACCAAGCCUGUGUGAAUCUCCUUCGACGAGUCGAGUAGUUUGGGAAUGCUGCUCUAAAUGGGAGGUAAAUUCCUUCUAAAGCUAAAUAUUGGCCCGAGACCGAUAGCGCACAAGUAGAGUGAUCGAAAGAUGAAAAGCACUUUGAAAAGAGAGUCAAACAGCACGUGAAAUUGUUGAAAGGGAAGGAUUUGUGACCAGACUUGCGCCGUACGGAUCUCCCGGUGUUCUCACCGGUGCACUCCGUGCGGUUCAGGCCAGCGUCGGUUUCCGGCGGGGGACAAAAGCGGUGGGAACGUAGCUCCCUCGGGAGUGUUAUAGCCCGCCGCAGAAUAUCCCGCCGGGGACCGAGGACCGCG